RNAcentral lists this long non-coding RNA (249 nucleotides) under Elaeis guineensis (African oil palm). RNAcentral describes it as "long non-coding RNA (EGUI_LNC034961)". The record is from RNAcentral. Lineage: Eukaryota; Viridiplantae; Streptophyta; Magnoliopsida; Arecales; Arecaceae.
GUGCAACAGGAGAUUGAUCGCAAUAGAUUGGCAUGCUAGGUAAGGAGAAGGAUACAAGCAAUCAUGCCAAAAUCAGAGCUCAGCAUUCGACAGGAUCGACGAGGCAGUCUUCCCGCUAGAAAGAUUUUCCUCCCCUACCUCCAAUGGCAGAGUCCAGUUCUUCGCGUCCUGUAGUCACUACGGACGUGCAAAUUACUGCACUUAUAGAGCAAAUGAAGUUAUUAACAGAGGCGGUCCAAAGUCUUCAAC